AGAGUUUGAUCCUGGCUCAGGAUGAACGCUGGCGGUAUGCUUAACACAUGCAAGUCGAACGGAUGUUUUCGGACAUUAGUGGCGGACGGGUGAGUAACGCGUGAGAAUCUAGCUUCAGGUUGGGGACAACAGUUGGAAACGACUGCUAAUACCGAAUGUGCCGAGAGGUGAAAGAUUUAUUGCCUGAAGAAGAGCUCGCGUCUGAUUAGCUAGUUGGUGGGGUAAGAGCUUACCAAGGCGACGAUCGGUAGCUGGUCUGAGAGGACGAUCAGCCACACUGGGACUGAGACACGGCCCAGACUCCUACGGGAGGCAGCAGUGGGGAAUUUUCCGCAAUGGGCGAAAGCCUGACGGAGCAAUACCGCGUGAGGGAAGAAGGCUCUUGGGUUGUAAACCUCUUUUCUUAGGGAAGAAAAAAAUGACGGUACCUAAUGAAUCAGCAUCGGCUAACUCCGUGCCAGCAGCCGCGGUAAUACGGAGGAUGCAAGCGUUAUUCGGAAUGAUUGGGCGUAAAGCGUCCGCAGGUGGCAUAUCAAGUUUGCGGUUAAAGGUUCUGGCUCAACCAGAGACAGGCCGUGAAAACUGAUAAGCUAGAGUAUGGUAGGGGCAGAGGGAAUUCCCAGUGUAGCGGUGAAAUGCGUAGAGAUUGGGAAGAACACCGGUGGCGAAAGCGCUCUGCUAGGCCAAAACUGACACUGAGGGACGAAAGCUAGGGGAGCGAAUGGGAUUAGAUACCCCAGUAGUCCUAGCCGUAAACGAUGGAUACCAGGUGUAGCUUGUAUCGACCCAAGCUGUGCCGUAGCUAACGCGUUAAGUA
This 817-nucleotide ribosomal RNA is filed under the name uncultured Nostocales cyanobacterium. RNAcentral's name for it is "bacterial SSU rRNA". It matches the Rfam family "Bacterial small subunit ribosomal RNA", at positions 8 to 866 of the family's 1533-position model. Lineage: Bacteria; Bacillati; Cyanobacteriota; Cyanophyceae; Nostocales. The record is from RNAcentral.